GACGAACGCUGGCGGCGUGCUUAACACAUGCAAGUCGAACGGAAAGAGAUGAAAGAGCUUGCUCUUUUAUUAAUUUCAGUGGCAAACGGGUGAGUAACACGUAAACAACCUGCCUUAAGGAUGGGGAUAACAGACGGAAACGACUGCUAAUACCGAAUACGUUCUAAGCAUCGCAUGAUGCAUAGAAGAAAGGGUGGCCUCUACAAGAAAGCUAUCGCCUUAAGAGGGGUUUGCGACUGAUUAGGUAGUUUGUGAGGUAACGGCUCACCAAGCCGACGAUCAGUAGCCGGUCUGAGAGGAUGAACGGCCACACUGGAACUGAGACACGGUCCAGACUCCUACGGGAGGCAGCAGUGGGGAAUCUUCCGCAAUGGACGAAAGUCUGACGGAGCAACGCCGCGUGAACGAAGAAGGUCUUCGGAUUGUAAAGUUCUGUGAUUCGGGACGAAAGGGUUUGUGGUGAAUAAUCAUAGACAUUGACGGUACCGAAAAAGCAAGCCACGGCUAACUACGUGCCAGCAGCCGCGGUAAUACGUAGGUGGCAAGCGUUGUCCGGAAUUAUUGGGCGUAAAGCGCGCGCAGGCGGUUUCUUAAGUCCAUCUUAAAAGCGUGGGGCUCAACCCCAUGAGGGGAUGGAAACUGGGAAGCUGGAGUAUCGGAGAGGAAAGUGGAAUUCCUAGUGUAGCGGUGAAAUGCGUAGAGAUUAGGAAGAACACCGGUGGCGAAGGCGACUUUCUAGACGAAAACUGACGCUGAGGCGCGAAAGCGUGGGGAGCAAACAGG
Molecule: ribosomal RNA, 783 nt
Filed under: uncultured Dialister sp.
Lineage: Bacteria; Bacillati; Bacillota; Negativicutes; Veillonellales; Veillonellaceae
Description: bacterial SSU rRNA
Rfam family: Bacterial small subunit ribosomal RNA
Source: RNAcentral